GUGAGAAGUAGUGGAAUCGAUACCCACAUUUUCCAAAGCACAUAUAGGCAACGAGUGGAUUUUUUAUUAGCAUGUAAAAAUAGAGGCAACAUAUCAACUUAUCGAAUGUUUAUAAAAAAUCAAUAUAUUCACAAUGUCAAUCAAAAGAUUACAAAUGAAUUUCUUAACUCUCGAUUGAUGCAAACAAUAAAGAAUAUUUUUCAAUGUAUUUUCUGAUGCUUCUCAGUUACAUAGACGUCGAUAAUACGCCUUUCCAUAAAAGCAGAGUGGCGCAGCGGAAGCGUGCUGGGCCCAUAACCCAGAGGUCGAUGGAUCGAAACCAUCCUCUGCUAACAAGUCUUUUUCAUCAAUCUUAGCUCGGUUUUAGUUAUCGCAGAUUUAUCGGCUAAGUUUGUUGUGGCUUUGCAUAGAUAUUUUGCAAAAAGUGCUAUGGCAUAUGUCACGAAAAAA
Non-coding RNA from Petromyzon marinus (sea lamprey), 450 nucleotides. The record is from RefSeq and is a predicted model, not a curated record. NCBI's taxonomy places the organism in Eukaryota, Metazoa, Chordata, Hyperoartia, Petromyzontiformes, Petromyzontidae.